This 165-nucleotide unclassified non-coding RNA is filed under the name Fusarium merismoides. RNAcentral's name for it is "sequence contains ITS2". Lineage: Eukaryota; Fungi; Ascomycota; Sordariomycetes; Hypocreales; Nectriaceae. RNAcentral also lists the same sequence under 1 other name. The record is from RNAcentral.
CAACCCUCAAGCCCCCGGGCUUGGUGUUGGGGCUCGGCCCGUCCCUAGCGGAUGCGCCGUCCCCGAAAUCUAGUGGCGGUCUCGCUGUAGCCUCCUCUGCGUAGUAGCUAACACCUCGCAACGGGAACGCAGCGCGGCCACGCCGUUAAACCCCCCACUUCUGAA